UUCCUGGGCCAGGGACUAAACCUGCUCCACAGCAGCAACCUGAGCCACAGCAGUGAUAAUGCCCAAUUCUUAACCUGCUAAGCCAUCAGGACACACCAAGAAUUAUUAUUUGAAUAGUUACUCUCUAUGUAGUCUCUGGAGGCAGCUUCCCAAAAACCAGUCUAACUUCUAGGGUCCCUGAAAGCUAUUUUUAAAAGGUCCCCCAGUGAGGAAUGGUUCCUUUGUCCACAGCUUCUGUUCUUACUACAAGAAUGAUAACUGGGGAUGUGGCUGGGUGAGGUUUUCUAAGUAUUCAGACUCCUUCUGACCUGUUCACCUCCUUGGUGACAAAGUAUCUGCAUCUCUAGAACCAUCCCUGUGCCUUUAAUCCUCUUUCAGUAUUUAGACAAAGAAGAAGUUAUCUGGUAGUCAGAGUUUUGGAAUAACUGGUUAAACAUAAGUGAAACUCAAGCAGGUGGAAACACAACUUCAACCAGGCAGUUACUCUUUGAUAAUCUGUAUAUCUAAAUGCUAAUAAUAUUUUACCUUCUUGUCCUUCUAUGCUUCAACAGGCAGAUGGACACAUAAUUAUUGUUUGAUUGACUACUGGAGCAGAAAAGAGAAUGAGCUAAAAGUCCCAUAAAUGAAUUUAACAUGGGCAGAUUCAGGUUUUGAGGAUCCUGAAGCAUAAGCAAUUUGGGGUACUCUCUUGAAGAAAAAUAUAUAAUUAUGCAUACAAACUUAGGUUAAAAAGUGAAUAGUUACUUGGAAUGAAAAAUCACAUCAAAUCAUGGUUAAUACAUUGAAAAUAGCCCAAAUAUCACAAAACCCAGAAAAAUAACAAUAUUUUUAAUAGGUGACACACCUCUGGCCCAGGAUCUCAUGACAUGAUGCUGAAAGAGUCACCAUAGUGGGAGUUAGGAAUGUUCCAGAAGCCACUCCUAUACUUAGAUGACUAGCAAUAACUAUACUUGGAAGUGACAGAAAACCACAUAAACACGCCCCAUUAAACCUGCAUGACAUGUAUCUGUAAUUCAACUUCCCCUUAGCUGGAUGUCCCAGCCACUUCAACACCAUCCAACCUCAAGAACAGUGCCACCAAGGAAAAGUCUGAGUUUGAGCCAGUCGUCUUAAAACAACUGCACAUUUCAUAGAGAAGGUUAAUAUUAGAAGAGACAGAGAAAAACAAGCUGCUACAACUUUUUUCAUUUUGUCUAUUAGCAAAUAAUUGUCAUCAUCUCAGACCAUCACAUGAUAAUCACUUUGGCAAUGAAAGCAGAGAGUUCCUCUGGUGUCAGAGCGCCCCUCUUCUCUCUGUAGGACAGAACCCAUUCCUUCCCCACUGUCCCUAAUCUGAACCACACACCUCUAGGGUCCUCUACUUUGUCUCUGGACAAAUAUAUGCCUUAUACAUUUGGUGUUUUCUGCUUUGUGCUUCACUAGCCACUUCAAAGGUAGAGAUUUAGUGAUAUUUUUCAUGAAACAGAACCAAAAAUCCUCAAAUUUACAUGGAACCAUAAAAGACUCCUCUUCUGAGGAAAAAACAAACAAAAACAAAGCUAGAGGUAUGAUACUCUCUGACUUCAAAUUAAUUAUAUUACAAUGCUGUAGUACUCAAAACAGUCCAGUAUUGGCAGAAAAAAUGGACACAGAGAUCAACAACCCAGUAAUAAACCUACAGAUAUAUGGCCAAUUCAUUUAGGACAAAUGAGCAAAGAACAAUACAAUAGAGAAGGGAUAGCAUCUUCCAAUAAAUGGUAAUGGUAAAACUGGAUAGCCACAUGCAACACAAUGAAAUUUCACCACUAUCUUACAUCGCACCCAAAAAUUAACUCAAAAUGGUGUUAAUACCUGAAACCAGAAAAUUAUUACAAGAAAAUAUAGGCAGUUCACAUUUUGACAUCAGUCCCAGUAAUAUCUAUCUGGAUAUGUCUCCUCAGGCAAGAGAAACAAAAGCAAAAACAAGACAUACAGACGGCCAAACACAUACAUGAAAAGAUGUUCAACAUCAUCAGAGAAUAAAAAUCAAAAGCACAGUAAGAUAUCACCUCAUGCCUGUUAGUACUGUUAUCAAAAAGGCAAGAAAUGUUGGAGAGGAUAUGGGGGCAGGGGGAGUUUACAUACAAUGCUGGUGGGAAUGUAAACUGGUGUAGCCGCUACGGAAAACAUUAUGGAGAUUUCUCAAUAAAUUAAGAAUAGGACUACCCUAAGAUCCAGCUAUUCCAUUUCUAGGUUGCCAUUUGCGACAACGUGGACAAAAUUAGGUGGACAAAAUGAGGGUAUUAGGUGGAAAAAAUGAGGGUAUUAGGCAAAGUGCAAUAAGUCAAAGAAAGACAUACUAUAUGAAUUCACUCAUAUGUGGGACAGUAAUAAAAAUAAAUAAAUAAAACAAAAACAAACACAUAGAUAGAGAAUACAGUGGUGGUUACCAGAGUAGAAAGUGUAUAGGGGAGGGUGAAAUGGCUAAAGAGGGUCCACUGUAUGGUGACAGAUGAAAACUAAACAUUCGGUGGUGCUCAUGCUAUAGUGUAUACAGAAGUUGAAAUACAAUGCUGUACACAUGAAACUUACAUGAUGUUACAAAGCAGUUACAACCUCAAUUUAAAAAUAAAAAUGAGGAGUUCUUGUCAUGGUGCAAUGGUUAACGAAUCCAACUAGGAACCAUGAGGUUUCAGGUUCGAUCCCUGGCCCUGCUCAGUGGGUUAAGGAUCCAGCGUUGCCGUGAGCUGCGGUGUAGGUUGCAGAUGCGCGGCUCGGAUCCACAUUGCUGUGGCUGCAGCGUAGGCCGGUGGCUACAGCUCCGAUUAGACCCCUAGCCUGGGAACCUCCAUAUGCUGUGGGAAGUGGCCCUAGAAAAGGAAAAAAAUAAAAAUUAAAAAACAAAUAAAUAAAUAAAAAUAAAAAUGAAAUAAAGGAAAAGCCUCCGAGAUAGAAUACCUACUUUUUUCCCUAUCAUCUUAUAAGCAUGCCUACUCAAAGUAAAUUAAUAGAUUCCCAGACUUCUAAAACAGUGGUUUAAAUAGUAUUUCAUAUUGUUAUCCCCAACUGUGACUCUAGAAUAUAUUUUUUCCUUUCAAUAUUAUUACAACUGAUAAGUUUGAGGUUUCUGCCUUGAUUGCUCUGAACAUUAAGAAUAUUGAUAACUCUUAACAUGAUUUUCUUAACAUUCAGCCAUUCACCAACACAAACUCCAACUUUCAAGGCAGUUUUUGUCCUUCACUAAGUUUUCUCUAAAAAUCAAAUUGACAUUAAUCCUUAAUAAAAUACUUACCAUGCUAUAUGGCAAUCAUGUCCAUCAAUUAGGAGUCACUUCGAGGCAAAAACUGUCUUAACAUUUAUAUGCACAUCACACAUUAGAGUGGCAAAUAGUAACUGCUAAAUAUCUGCUGGGCAAAUGAAUGCAUAUCUGAAUGAAGGAUACACAUCACUAAAAUAUAUACACUUAUUUUACAGAGGUAUGACUAUUAAUGAGAAUACCUGAAAAUUUGCCUUGCUUUUCAAUUUAACUGUUACCACAUAGGCAAAAAACAUUACAGUAGUUUAGAUGGAGGUUUAAAUUAUUUUUAGAUAACCUCAAAAGAUUCAUCAGUGGAACUUCCAACUCUUGUAAUCUAGGAAGAAAAAAAACCUCAGCUCACUCCACCCUAACCCUUCC
RNAcentral lists this long non-coding RNA (3634 nucleotides) under Sus scrofa (pig). Its description in RNAcentral is "lncRNA (ENSSSCG00000053188.1)". Lineage: Eukaryota; Metazoa; Chordata; Mammalia; Artiodactyla; Suidae. The record is from RNAcentral.